GUCCAGUGUAACUGCAUCCCCAAAAUGGCUGUAAGCUGUCCUUGACCUUGCAUCAGCCCAAAAUACAUUGGCCAUGCAAUUAUCAUCAUCAAGUUGUAUUGCAUAAAAGAAACCAGGGUUUUCAGCCUGCAUUUUCUUGAAAUAUUCUAACAGAUUCUGUGCAUCCCUUCCCAGUGUCCUCCUUCGCGAAUUGGAUCUAACAGCAUAGUUCAAUGUUGCAGAAUUGUUAAUGACACGAUUUGAUUCUGCAGCAGGAGAGAUCCUAAGACCACGAUUUGCCUCUGCAGAUGCACGGUUUCCAUCCAUGGAUACAUACAUCACACCACUGGGUACAAUUCCAACUCCUUGGUAAGUUUCAGUGAUGCU
RNAcentral lists this unclassified non-coding RNA (366 nucleotides) under Hevea brasiliensis (rubber tree). Lineage: Eukaryota; Viridiplantae; Streptophyta; Magnoliopsida; Malpighiales; Euphorbiaceae. The record is from RNAcentral.